GGAACCACCACCAAACGAAACAUAAACCCUUUGUAGGAAAUAUAUAUAGUUUAAAUUUUUACCUUUUUUAAGGUUUAUAGCUGGGCCCAAAGUUUCUAAAAGGUCUAUUCAGCCUCUGUGAGAAGCAACUGGGGUUAUUUUCGGAGAUGUAACCCAUGGGUAUUGAUAUACACCACGGCAUUCCUUGGUAGCCAAGCAUAGGGCUAAGAUGAGAACUAUUUGGCUACUUCUUAAUAUUUAAGUGGAUGAGCAGCAAACAUCUUUCUCCGUCUUCCUGAGCUCCAUUCUGCAAUUGCAGUGCAGCAGGACGACAGUGCAUUUACUGUGGCAUGCUGUUGGCCCCAUGCACUUCCCCCUUUCCCCCAUAGAUCUCGGCAGUGCCUUCUGCUUUGGUCCUGACAGGGUUCUGCAGGAUAUACACGAAGUAUGGCACCAACAUCUGCUUCUGGUGAAGGCUUCAUGAAGCUUCCACCCAUGACAGAAGGCGAAGAACUGUUGCCAGCAUCAUGCUACAAGCCUGAAGGGAAGGUCUACUGACAGAGAAGGACAGAGACCAGGGAAACACAGAAAAGGAGAGACAAAGCCUUGACAUACCAAACCAGUGCCUGGCCUACCUAUGGACUUCUCAAUUCCUUCAAUUAGAGUGCCUCUGAAAGACAGGGUGUAUUCCAGCUGGCAUUGGGACAACCUAAAGUUUAAACCUUUGGGUGAAAAAGUGCCAACUUGGGAGACAUAUUAUCAAGACUGAAUCAGAGAGUUGACAGCAUACCAGGAAGUGUCACUGUAUAGUUUGGAAGAUGGAAAUCAUACUACUUUUUUCCCAUGGAAUACGUCAAUGUUCAAAGGCUGAUAUUCAACCAGUUUAUUUCCUGCAACUGAAGAAGUACAAUGCCCUCCUGCUUAUCUGGCCUCAUUUUCUUUGCUUUGGAGAUGUAUGUUGGAAAACAAACUGAUGUAUUUUUCACAGUUGCAAAUAAA
RNAcentral lists this long non-coding RNA (978 nucleotides) under Homo sapiens (human). RNAcentral's name for it is "HSALNT0284550". The record is from RNAcentral. Lineage: Eukaryota; Metazoa; Chordata; Mammalia; Primates; Hominidae.